RNAcentral lists this transfer-messenger RNA (359 nucleotides) under Terriglobia. RNAcentral's name for it is "Palsa-360 sp020073485 Standard tmRNA". It matches the Rfam family "transfer-messenger RNA". Rfam says of the family: Bacterial tmRNA, also known as 10Sa RNA or SsrA, is named for its dual tRNA and mRNA-like properties. Its role is to liberate the mRNA from a stalled ribosome. To accomplish this part of the tmRNA is used as a reading frame that ends in a translation stop signal. RNAcentral also lists the same sequence under 1 other name. The record is from RNAcentral. Lineage: Bacteria; Pseudomonadati; Acidobacteriota.
GGGGGCGACACGGUUUCGACGGAAGCUGUCGCGACUCGAAGGCAUGCAGGGCGCCACCUGCCCUCAAUCGGGUGGAAAACUAGAACUGCCAAUCAACAAUUGGCAUUGGCUGCCUAGCUUAAACUAGGCCAGCUACGUUUCCCCGGGCUUCGCCUACGGGUCCGGCAAGAAACGUCACACAGUAGGCUGGCCGUCAAGUUUCGGUCCGGAACAAGACGGCGAGAACCAAUCGGACUAGCCGGCUGCGUUUCUUGCUCAUUCUGAGCGCGGCUGGCGAAACAAACGGAAUAGAGCUAAGCAUGUAGGCUUCGAGCCGUAGCGCUUUUCGGACGGGGGUUCAACUCCCCCCGCCUCCACCA